Long non-coding RNA from Apis mellifera (honey bee), 3285 nucleotides. RefSeq lists it as uncharacterized. The transcript has 3 exons. NCBI's taxonomy places the organism in Eukaryota, Metazoa, Arthropoda, Insecta, Hymenoptera, Apidae. The record is from RefSeq and is a predicted model, not a curated record.
UGGUAUGUGGCGCGAUAUCGCUGAGCAAAUAUUAUUAGUUUCUAAAUAUGGAGUCGGUGUGUACACGAUAAUAAAAAUUGCUAUUACUAGAACUGAGUAUAACAAUUGAAUGUGGUCACAGUCGAAUUAAAGAGAGAAUGUGUGCGGUUAUGGUAAUUAAUGACGACUGCUUUGCAUUCAUUGUUCCCGAGUUACCUUUGUUAAGUUAUACUGUUUAACGAAAGUGCGUAGUAUUUGUAGCGUCAAGAGCAUACAAGCCUGUUUAAAAAUUUUACGCCAUUUUGUAUAUCAGUUCAGUAUUUAUGCAAAUGAUGAGUACUUUACGAGUACUUUAUACAAAUUCUUCUGAAUUCAAAUCGAAGCAACCAUCAAAAUGAUAUUCCACUUUCGAACUGGGAGAAAAGUUACUCAACUGUUGCCUCCGGAACGUAAACAAUAAACAAAAGUCUCAGAUGAAUCAGCACAGAGGCAUGUUGAAUCAAGCCAGCUCUAAGAUGCUCUAUUAUUAGCCACAUGAGGCAAUUACGGACACGCCAGUAACGAUUAACCAGCCGCUUUUAAAUCGGCUAGUUAUUCCUGCCGAUGUGUCAUCGUCAAAGAGAAGCCGUUCCAGCAGAAUCGUCAUUGACGGCAUCAUCAUUCUAGUCAUCGGUAUGUCUAUUGGCACUAAUGCAUCCACGAGAAAAUAAGAUACGAUUCAUUUUAACUUAGAGAAACCCGUGCGCGCCUUGAUGAGAAACAUUGGCUCCCUACUCUCCAGAAUAUUCUGGUUAGAUUUCUACUCUCACGGACGAUUUUCUACGUCCCGGAACGGAUCAGCCUGACGCAUUAUGUCCGCGAAUCGUUGACACUUCGUUCCCCUCUAGCGAGAGACUUUCGUUUCUUCCCACCGAAUAAAUUAUUCUUGCAAAUACCUUCGAUAUUUCGAGUGACAAUCGAUUUAAUUAUACAUCCACAUUUAAUUUCAAUCCAUCAUUCGGUUUAGAACUAACACAAACCUAGAACGUAAGACUUUCUCUACAGAUAAUCAUCGAGAUCGAAAUGCUAAAUUUAGUCUUCCAUUCCGUUUUUAUUCCAUGAAUUAUCCUUCUAUUUAAUUCCCUCGGUUUCGAGUGACGAUUUAAUUACAUACACCCACCGCUUCCUCCUGAACUUAGGAUCCUCGAAACCAAGCUAAGCCUCUUCUUCCGUGUUUACGCGGUUUCCCUCCCAUUAUCGUAGUUCAGUGUACAACACAAUAACAUCGUCACUUUCUAAAAAGCUGUAUCGUUCACACCGUGCACCCCACCGUGUAACGUGUGAACGGGCUUAGAGGCCUAAUCACACGCGGCGUGUCGCUCUCGGCCGCGAUCCAGAAACGGAACACUGGGAACAAAAGAAGAUCACGGUGAAGUUUGCGCGCGUGGAGAACGCGCUCGAUGCCCGUUCCCGACCCGGGUCAAGGUGAACGGGCGGCCAUUCUUAGGGUCGGUCGAAGGGAAGAUCGUACGGCGUGUGCCGCCGUAGUUCCGGCGAAGUGUCGUGAGAAGUAUCGAAGAAGCGAGAGAGAGAGAAACCGUAGGCCACGUGACUUCCCAGGGACGUGGGCUUCCGUUCCAUUCCACGCUGAUUACAUUGUAUAACGCCCGCGUAUACGGAUUACGACGCGGGAAAUUGUCUUCGUCCUCGCGUUUUUGUUUUUUCGCCACGUGAUCACGAAGACGCCUCGAAGGUAUGAGACGAGGACGUAGGAGACGAGUCAACUUUUCUAGCUAUUUCGAAUCUUUGUGUCAAAGUAGCGGCCGGUUAAAUGCUCUUACUGCUUUCUGUUUGUGAAUACGGAAUUUCUGUUUUUGACAAAUCCUUGGGGGAUCUUAUUUUUGGCCCGGGGCAAGGAUCUCGUCGCGAAGAGAAUUAUUUAUUCGAAAUGUAGGAUUUUAAUCGGGAUGGAAUUUUGUUGAAGGGAAUUUGGACAGGAGACAAUUGUUUCAAGAGUAUCUUUGCCACGAUUCUUGUUCGAGUCUCGCGUUAUAUCUCGCUCGUGAAACGUGCCAGUCUCUCCCUUUCUUUCGCCCAUUUAUCUCUUAUUUUGAAAACGUGGGCGUUUUCGUCUCAAAUUGUGUUGCCAAUGUUUCAACUCUCUCUCAGCUUCACGCUUAUUCUCAACCUUGGAACGACACACUUAGGAUACUUUGUUAAGAUAUGAAGGAACUUUUGUAGUAGGUAUUUAUAUGAAAUAUUAAGUAUCUGCCAAAAAUAUUUCCGACUCAUGCCUUAUACAUUCCUUCUUAUUUUUAUAACGAUACGAAAUUAGAUCGAUAGAUCGGAUUUAAUUAGAUCGUUUUAUAAAAAUACGAAAAAGUACGCGCAAACAUUCCUUCUUAAUAUUGUAUUAAUAGUAGAUCAGCAUUGGGUAGGCAGAUAAAUUGAAACACGUGCAUCGAAUCGGGCUUUAUUCUCAAGUUCUGUUCAACUUCGGUCAGGCACACAUUGUAUUCCACAAACACGAGCAUCUGCACGCGCGUACUGCACGCGCGUAUUGCACGCGCAAUUCUCGCGAGCUUGGCAGCGAGAACCUACGAUAAUAUGAACUUCAAGGCGGCCAAUGUUAUUUAUGUUCUCUAAAGUCCACGUGUAUCAUGAAUACCACGUGUAAAUCCCGAGUGCGCGUAUGUAUACGUGUUCACGUUAUCAUAAAUUUUUUUCAUAAAUAUAUAUAUAUAUAUUUUUUUUUUCAACACUGUAUAAAUAUUUUCAAAUAUAAAAAAGACACUAAUAAGAUAUGAAAGCAAUAGCGCAAAACGGUUAUUGCAAGGUUAAUAUUUAAUCAUUCGCCUAUUUGAUGAUCUAUUAUACGAUUUUACGCAAGAUAAAGAAUCCUAAUUUCAUUUAUGAUCCGAUCGUAAAUCUUGAGGUAUCUAUGUUUUAUUGCGGUAUUUAACAUUCCUUAGUUAGUGUCCGUUACACAGAGUAUGACAUUUGGCGGGUCUACUUUCAUUCCUGACGCAACUCGUACCCAAGUUUCACAUCAGGUUCCGCCGGUCAGAUAAUGUAUAGCGAUAUAUUAUGUAAAUAAAUACGGUUUUACCCGUUUUCUAAAUUUUUUUCCUUUCUUUCUAACGUAGAAUAUUACGUACAACCGAGUCCUUCAUUCAUUAAUAAAAGUAUAAGUGAAUUUUUCUGGAUGGACAUCGUCUAUUCUGUGAAUAUAAGAAAUAUAAGAAAUCGAUAAUAUUGAGAGAUGUGCAGUAAAAAUUGGAAUUUUGCCGCUUAGAUUAACGAACAUUUCAUUUCUGGGAUAAGAGG